CUGAAUUGUUGAUUCACAAGGCUAUAUUUAUUAUAAUUUUUUCACAGCCCUUUAGGGUUUUUAUUUAUAAGCAAGGAUCAAGAAUAAUGAAAUAAAAACAACAAAAAUCACCAUGGCUAAACAUUUAAUUCAUGGUGUUUAUCAUACACUAUAUCCAACAGAGACAAAUAGUUAGAACAGAAAUUGGACAAUUAAGAAUUGUAUUAAUUAGUACAUUAAUUAUGAGAAAAUAUGAAUUCAAUGCAUCCCCACUUUGAAUUGAGAUCUUGCUGACACAACUUGCUGCUUACAUGAACAUUGAUCUUGCUGGAUCAAACAGCAUCAUCAGUGCAUGCAUGGAGGCAGAGAGAGAGAGAGAGAGAGAGAGAGAGAGAGAGCUUCAUUGAUUUAGAACAUGUAGAGAUCAGCUAAUUCUUCCAAAGAAUCAAAACUAGCAUUUGGAUCAGCAUUUUCAAGCAUCCAUAAAAGGUGGUCAAAAAAGACCACCUCACAUUUCACCACCAAAAUAUUAUCCUCUCCUGGUUUUUGCCUUGACUUCUCAAUGAGAGCGUUCACCAGAGGAUGGCUCAGAUACUUGGAGCUAAUGACAUACCUCUUUCUUGUGCUUCCAACAAAUAUUGUUUCAUGAUUUUCAUUUUCUUGCUUGUGAUCACCCCAUAAAUCUUCCCUGGUUGACUUAGACCUUAGGCUACUAUAAGAUGAAGAUCUCCCUAGUUGCCUUGACAAACUCUUGCAUUUCCUUAGUAUCAAGUUGAUCUUCUUCAUUAUAUUUUGUGAGACCAAAAGGAACAGAAGGACAAGUUUAGAAGUUAAUACUGCAUAAAAAUAUGAAUGCGGCAUGCAUAUAUAGGAGACUUGCUAUACACUCACAGAAGGUAUAACAGCAAUUGGGGUGGCUAGAUGAGCCAUGGUGGGUGCUAUGUCAUUGUUUACAUCUGCUGGCAAUGUGGGGCAUGUUGAGC
This 962-nucleotide long non-coding RNA is filed under the name Populus trichocarpa (black cottonwood). Its description in RNAcentral is "long non-coding RNA (PTRI_LNC002792)". Lineage: Eukaryota; Viridiplantae; Streptophyta; Magnoliopsida; Malpighiales; Salicaceae. The record is from RNAcentral.